This is a long non-coding RNA of Phyllopteryx taeniolatus (common seadragon), 2231 nucleotides long. RefSeq lists it as uncharacterized. The record is from RefSeq and is a predicted model, not a curated record. Lineage: Eukaryota; Metazoa; Chordata; Actinopteri; Syngnathiformes; Syngnathidae. The transcript is spliced from 3 exons.
ACCAUUAGCCCGCAUGUUUCCUUUCAUCUUAAGUGUUUUUAUACACAUUCACUGCCAUUGAUGGCUUCAGAAGUCAAAUAACCAUGUUAACUGGGAAAUCUGGCAGUGAAUGAGUUAAGCAUUCGCUCACUGCAAUCACGCUAUCAUGACAACCUUUUUAUCCCCAACAUUUUUUUACUUUAGUGUGGGCUUUUCUGGUACAUGGCAGCCACCAAAGGGGGUCCUUGUUGAGUUGAGUCCUCGCCGGAGAAGUGGAAGUUCACAAACAGACAAAUGCAUCUGUGAUGGAUCAAGCAAUUUAAGUAUCUUGUCUGCAGUUAUUCACCUUUUUGUUUCAUGAUAAUUUGUUGGGGUUAUUUACUGCCGUACUGAGCUACUGGGUUCUGCUCAGGUGCUCCAGAAUAUGCUAAAACAUUCGCUCUAUGGCUAAUACACACCCAGAGAAUGCAUACAGUGAAUUACUGAAACGAUAAAAAAUACUCAUCAUUCACAAAAAUUCAUUUGAUUGAGGAAUUUUGUCGGCGUGAGAUGCCCCUUUCCAAAUGAGCAGAAUCAUAUUGCCAAGUUCAAGUACUUUUCGUCUUGUUGUGUCUUCAAAAUUUGCCAGGGUUAUUCAAUUAAAACUUAGUCUCCUCUGGUUGUCAAGUGCAAGCCAUUUCAUUCUAAUAAAUCGCAGGUAGGCUGUGGUCUGAUGAUUGUGAUCAUGAAGAUUAUGCCAAUACCCAGAAAAUACUGUAUGUGUGGUCAUUUACUGAAUGUAUAGAAAAGACACAAAGUUACAUGAAUUGUGAAACCAAUGCUAUGGAUAAUAGACGACUUCAUACGGCAACCUAUACUACAAACAUGGAAUGCAGAGAUUGAACUACAGACGUGCUACACAGGGCACAUUCAGUCAUUUUGCAUAUUGUUGAGCUUGACAGGAACCUUAUUUUUGUUUCACAGGAUGGAUUCAAAUUUUUCGAAAAUUCCUUCAAGAGCAGUGAAGGUUAGAUGAUAAUGUAAUUGCCACCUUUAUUGAGGAGAAGAUAUGUACCCCCUUGUAAACAUUUGUAAUUUCAUUGAGAUGGCAAGGCAAUGUUGUUGCUUCAUAUACUGUAUGUCUAGUGUGAUAUGGUUGAUUGCAAAAAAAGUAUACUAUUCAGCUUCUGUCAAAAUGAUGGGUGGGCGGAAGUGAUGUCAUCACCUGAAGUGGCGGCAUCACCAGAAGUGACGUCAUCGCCAGUUGUCGGGAUUGUACCGGAAGUGUGACCUCAUCACGUUGCGCCAGGGAAUUUACCGGAAGUGACGUCAUCGUUUGUUGCCGGAAGUGUGACCCCGUCACGUGUCGCCGGGAAUGUACCGAACGUGACGUCAUCGUCUGUUGCUGGAAGUGUGCCGGUAAAACCGGAAGUGUGUCGGAAGUUGUGUUGUUGCCGGAAGUCUUGUCUGAAAUCGGAAGUGUACCGGAAGGUUAGAAAUGUUGUGACCGGAAAUCAGUGUGGAAGGUGUGAAAUGUCCUAAACUUUCCCGGACAUGUUGAGAACAAGUUCUAGACUUGUCUCGUUCCCCCCAACCACCCACCAUAAACCCCCACCCUGGACAUGUUGAGAACAAGUUCUAGACCAGCAUAUAUGUGGCAUUAGAUCAACAUCACCUACAGAUCUAGCAAUGGUAUUAUCUACCGUUGUUUUUCAUAAUCACAUGAUGUCGGUUUACUCAGUCAUAAAUAUAUCACACAAAUACUGAGUUAUAUAACUUUGAAAGACUAAGCUCCAUCGACUCAGCACCACACCUACAGCAGACAAUUUACCAAGCAGAUCGCAAGACAGACGGAUAAGCUGGCUGAAAUCGGACCACAUCGCCCUUAAAUGAACGACCACCUAGUCGUUACAUCACACAACCGAAUCAGCAUUUGCCACAGGCCAAGGGGUACCAGGAAUAUAGCUGCACAAACAUGUGUGCCACAACGGUCCCGUAUCAGCAGACCUCAUCCUCUGCAGAACCCUGAAAUUGGUUAUAACAAUAGAAGGUCACCACAAAGCAUCGUGAAUACGGAGGAUUUACAACACAGACGAAUUGACGCCUUCAUUCGAGCUGUGGACUAAAAUCUAUGUGCACAUCAUAGAUUAUUUCUUCAACGGUAAUGUUAUUUUCUUUAAAUACAACUACAACCCAAUUCAAAUGAAGUUGGGACAUUGUGUUAAACAAAAAUAAAAAUAAUACAAUGAUUUGAAAAUCAUGUUCAACCUAUA